Tricholoma furcatifolium is the source of this 100-nucleotide non-coding RNA. NCBI's taxonomy places the organism in Eukaryota, Fungi, Basidiomycota, Agaricomycetes, Agaricales, Tricholomataceae. The record is from the annotation of a GenBank genome assembly.
GGCUCUGUAGUGUAGCGGUCAUCACUCAAGAUUCUGAUGAUAUGGUUUAAACGUAGCGUCUCGUAUUCUUGAAACCCAGGUUCGAUUCCUGGCAGGGCCU